UCGUCACACUAUCAUUAACUGAAUCCAUAGGUUAAUGAGGCGAACCGGGGGAACUGAAACAUCUAAGUACCCCGAGGAAAAGAAAUCAACCGAGAUUCCCCCAGUAGCGGCGAGCGAACGGGGAGGAGCCCAGAGCCUGAAUCAGCAUGUGUGUUAGUGGAAGCGUCUGGAAAGGCGCGCGAUACAGGGUGACAGCCCCGUACACAAAAGCGCAUGUGCUGUGAGCUCGAUGAGUAGGGCGGGACACGUGGUAUCCUGUCUGAAUAUGGGGGGACCAUCCUCCAAGGCUAAAUACUCCUGACUGACCGAUAGUGAACCAGUACCGUGAGGGAAAGGCGAAAAGAACCCCGGCGAGGGGAGUGAAAAAGAACCUGAAACCGUGUACGUACAAGCAGUGGGAGCACAGGUUUACCUGUGUGACUGCGUACCUUUUGUAUAAUGGGUCAGCGACUUAUAUUCUGUAGCAAGGUUAACCGAAUAGGGGAGCCGGAGGGAAACCGAGUCUUAAUUGGGCGUUAAGUUGCAGGGUAUAGACCCGAAACCCGGUGAUCUAGCCAUGGGCAGGUUGAAGGUUGGGUAACACUAACUGGAGGACCGAACCGACUAAUGUUGAAAAAUUAGCGGAUGACCUGUGGCUGGGGGUGAAAGGCCAAUCAAACCGGGAGAUAGCUGGUUCUCCCCGAAAGCUAUUUAGGUAGCGCCUCGUGAAUUCAUCUCCGGGGGUAGAGCACUGUUUCGGCUAGGGGGCCAUCCCGGCUUACCAACCCGAUGCAAACUGCGAAUACCGGAGAAUGUUAUCACGGGAGACACACGGCGGGUGCUAACGUCCGUCGUGAAGAGGGAAACAACCCAGACCGCCAGCUAAGGUCCCAAAGUCAUGGUUAAGUGGGAAACGAUGUGGGAAGGCCCAGACAGCCAGGAUGUUGGCUUAGAAGCAGCCAUCAUUUAAAGAAAGCGUAAUAGCUCACUGGUCGAGUCGGCCUGCGCGGAAGAUGUAACGGGGCUAAACCAUGCACCGAAGCUGCGGCAGCGA
RNAcentral lists this ribosomal RNA (1033 nucleotides) under Salmonella enterica subsp. enterica serovar Infantis. RNAcentral's name for it is "partial 23S ribosomal RNA". It matches the Rfam family "Bacterial large subunit ribosomal RNA", at positions 140 to 1211 of the family's 2925-position model. RNAcentral also lists the same sequence under 7 other names. Lineage: Bacteria; Pseudomonadati; Pseudomonadota; Gammaproteobacteria; Enterobacterales; Enterobacteriaceae. The record is from RNAcentral.